This 771-nucleotide ribosomal RNA is filed under the name Aureobasidium sp. BJ-2021g. Its description in RNAcentral is "partial large subunit ribosomal RNA". It matches the Rfam family "Eukaryotic large subunit ribosomal RNA", at positions 151 to 938 of the family's 3401-position model. Lineage: Eukaryota; Fungi; Ascomycota; Dothideomycetes; Dothideales; Saccotheciaceae. The record is from RNAcentral.
GUAGAGGAUGAUUUGGGGAAGCCGCCUGUCUAAGUUCCUUGGAACAGGACGUCAUAGAGGGUGAGAAUCCCGUAUGUGACAGGAAAUGGCACCCUAUGUAAAUCUCCUUCGACGAGUCGAGUUGUUUGGGAAUGCAGCUCUAAAUGGGAGGUAAAUUUCUUCUAAAGCUAAAUAUUGGCGAGAGACCGAUAGCGCACAAGUAGAGUGAUCGAAAGAUGAAAAGCACUUUGGAAAGAGAGUUAAAAAGCACGUGAAAUUGUUGAAAGGGAAGCGCUUGCAAUCAGACUUGUUUAAACUGUUCGGCCGGUCUUCUGACCGGUUUACUCAGUUUGGACAGGCCAGCAUCAGUUUCGGCGGCCGGAUAAAGGCUCUGGGAAUGUGGCCUCCACUUCGGUGGAGGUGUUAUAGCCCAGGGUGUAAUACGGCCAGCCGGGACUGAGGUCCGCGCUUCGGCUAGGAUGCUGGCGUAAUGGUUGUAAGCGACCCGUCUUGAAACACGGACCAAGGAGUCUAACAUCUAUGCGAGUGUUCGGGUGUCAAACCCCUGCGCGUAAUGAAAGUGAACGGAGGUGGGAACCCGCAAGGGUGCACCAUCGACCGAUCCUGAUGUCUUCGGAUGGAUUUGAGUAAGAGCAUAGCUGUUGGGACCCGAAAGAUGGUGAACUAUGCCUGAAUAGGGUGAAGCCAGAGGAAACUCUGGUGGAGGCUCGCAGCGGUUCUGACGUGCAAAUCGAUCGUCAAAUUUGGGUAUAGGGGCGAAAGACUAAUCGA